Molecule: unclassified non-coding RNA, 283 nt
Filed under: Epithamnolia sp.
Lineage: Eukaryota; Fungi; Ascomycota; Leotiomycetes; Phacidiales
Description: partial contains 5.8S ribosomal RNA, internal transcribed spacer 2, and large subunit ribosomal RNA
Source: RNAcentral
AACGCACCUUGCGCUCCUUGGUAUUCCGAGGAGCAUGCCUGUUUGAGUAUCAUUAAAUUCUCAACCCCACCGAUUUGUUUCGAGUGGCGGCUUGGACUUGGAGCGUGCUGGCGAAAGUCGGCUCCUCUUAAAUGAAUCAGCGAAAAUAUCUUUGAUUUUUCGGUCAUCGGUGUGAUAAUCAUGUCUCGCCGUCGGCCAAUCUCGAGGUUCGCUUACAAUCGUCCUCGGACAACUUACCAUCAAUUUUGAUCUCAAAUCAGGUAGGACUACCCGCUGAACUUAA